Long non-coding RNA from Vespula vulgaris, 3221 nucleotides. RefSeq lists it as uncharacterized. The record is from RefSeq and is a predicted model, not a curated record. The transcript has 4 exons. Lineage: Eukaryota; Metazoa; Arthropoda; Insecta; Hymenoptera; Vespidae.
UUUUUAUAAUAUACAAUACAAAAAAAUAGGAGAAAGGUAUAACCAACAUCAAGAAUCUCACGAGUCGAACUAACUCGCUCCCUGACUUAACCUAAUCCAAUAUUCUUGGCUCCCCUCUACGCUCAACGCUGAUUGGCGGUAGAAAGCAGUUUUUUUUCUCAGUCACAAAUAGGUGUUUCUGACUAUAUUUUUGUAUUGUUUCAUCUAGUAGUAGGGAUGUGUUUUUACCGAAAAGGUCCCUCAAAUGAUUGAGACGCUCCUAAACUGUCGAUUCUCGUGUUGACUACAAGAUAAGACCAAUAGCCCGUCUGGAUAUUCUAUACAAAGAAAGAGACGCGCCGUGAGCAGCUCAUUACUUUGUGAACUUCUACAGACGAAAGUUAAGUUUUCCAUGGUGAAGAGUUCAAAAAUUAUUUGUCUCCUGCAAUCACUACUAGUUUGUUGAGCAUUACAUUUCCUCUUACGAAGAAAAGAUAGUCAGCGAAAUGUGAUUGUGAGAAGGAUUAAUAUUUGCAAAUAAUAAUAUCAUCGCAUAAUAUCAUAGUCUUUGCUGCUGUUAAUCAUCAUGCCUAUGUCUACUUUCAGUCUAUUAUGUUAUUGACAAAUAAUCAUCAUAUAGAAUGAGAAGACAUAUUUGUUAAGUAUAAUCAACGAAAUGAUAUUUUUGAAACAUAUUUAGUAUUUUCAUCAAACAAUAUUAUUAAAAUUUAUAUCCAAAAAAGCAGAAGCGCAACGUAAAUAGGAGUAAGAAGGAGAGAAUGAUAAAAUGAAAGAAGUGGAUGUAGAAGUGUCUCACUCUCUCUCUCUCUCUCUCUCCCCCCCUCUCUCUCGGUUUAGCAUAUUUAAGAGGAGUACAAACUUAACUAGAAAUGGCAAGGACUCGAGCAAUGGUGAACAAUUUGCUUUUUGUCCUUAUGCAUUUUCUUAGCAUGCGUCUAACGAAUUUUUAGAGGCAAAUAACCUAUAUGACAAUAAAUAAAUGAACUCUUGAGAAAAAGUUUAACAGACCACCAGUAGUACAAUAGUGUGUGAACAGUCCCCAUUAAAACAACAAUAAAAUACAAUAUUUUAUGAUUGCCCAUUUGUGUUAUAUGUGCCAUGAUGCAAAGCAUUAAUUUGCAUAUGAAUCUGUAUGCAUUGUGAUUUAGGAAAUAGCAAACACUUAAAUUGAUUAAGUUAUACAUAGUAUGAUAUGCGCUGUAGUUGCUUCAGAUAUAAUCAAUAACUAUCUAAAUAAUUAACUAAGUGUUUCUGUUUAGGUUUCAAAGACAACGGUGAUAGUUUUAUAAUAUUACAUUUCAAUUAAUCGCGAGCGAUUAAUCGAAAUUUUAACUGUCACUACUCAGACGAUGUCGUUUGUACUGGCAUAUAAUGUACUGGGAUUCAACUUCGUGAUACGAUCAGCCAGAUUGACGUGGUGUUAGCUUCGUUAAUAGUAAUGUUACUUGUAAGAUACACCGAUACGCGGGUUAUCCGUGAGAUAUCCGGGUAUCUCAUUAGUAAUCUAUAUAAGAUAGUUGACAAAGUUUUAUCUAACUAUUUUACUUACAUUACUCAAAUGCCUAUGUAAUUUACGUUUUUGUGAUAAAUAAUAACACAAUCAAAUAAUUGAAUAUUUCAAAAUAGAUGUCUUUAUUUUUAUACAAAAAUACUAAGAAGUAUACAUUUUUAGAUUCAUACUAGAUUCAUAUUAAAUUCAUCUGCUUUGCAGAUGAAUAUUUCUGGUCAUAAAGAAUAAUCUUUUAGAUGUGGCAGAUAUUUUUGGUAUAGAUAAAUAUCCUUUUAGUAAUUUUGAAACUAUAUCAUGCACAAUCUCGAUGUUCGAAUUUAAAUCAAAUCUCCUCGUAAGCAAUGUUACCAAAAUAUUCUUGAGUUCUUCCAUUUCAAGUUUGCCCGUAUCACUAAUUUUGAGAUUCCAUUGUUGGCAACUUGUUCCUCGCUCUUCUAUAAAAAUUGGCAAUUUGUGCUAAUUUUUGAUAUUUUUUAUCUUGUAUUUUUUACCUCUGUAAUGGACAUAAAUGAUAAUUUAUUCCGAUAUCUUGCAAAUACCGUUGUAAUUCUGAAUUAUUAUGCAAUACUAGGAGCUUGUGAUUAUAAAAUAUAUCAAGAGCAUUACUUGAUAUUUUCUAUAAUUUCAAUAUUUCUGUUUUCUGCCAAUAGCUAUUGUAAUAAGAUCCUUUUUCGUUGUUUUCAAAUGAUAUUUGUUUAUCCCUUGAAUCCAAAAACGCUGUAAUACCAUGAACAGUUUCGAUGUUCGAAUUUAAAUCAUAUGUAUUUGUAAGUAAUAUUACCAAAAUAUUUUUAAUUUCUUUUCAGAUGUGUCAUUAAUUUUGAGAUGAUUAUUAAUAAGGCUGUGAAUAAUAAGAAGUACCGAAGAGAUGGUUAGUCCAUUUUCUAACAUAAUGUUGUAAAUUUAAUUGUAUCAUUCAUUAUUAUCCACUGAUGUUCUGAUUUAUCAAGUUUAAAUAUUUAAUUUCACAAUCGUUCUAUUUAUUAGAAUAGACAUAAUUGCAUAUCUAUUGUUUGUUAGCCUUUCAUAUAAUAGUAAGAACCAUACUCUAUGGGGCAAUUUUGAAUUAAUUUUUGUUUCUUUAAACCUAAUUGCUCUUGUUUUUCGAUUAAAGCAACUGUAAUGACGCUGGAGUGACCAAAAUAUUGCACGAUUUUAUACUUUAGCGCUAUUUCAACGCCUUUUUUGUGAACCGUUUGUUUGUUGAGAUAUUCGAUUGGGCCUAGAAGAGUUGUUCCAUCUGCUGGAUGUACUUUUACUAAGAUAGACAACUGGGAAAAUUUUUAUAAACAUAUUCUAAUAGCCUGCUUAACGAAUCAGCAUAAGGAAGUAUUCUCGCUCACAAGGGGUAAGAGCUCACAGAUGGUUUGGAUAUGGAAUCUAAGGCGAAAGUAAAAGUCUCUUUUUCGAUUUCAUACGUCAGCAAUGCUUCGUAGGUAAGGAGAGUUUCUCCUUAUGCGAAGGAGACGUGACGUUAGAAAUUUUAGAACAAACCAUAAAAAUGAGGGUAAAAAAUCGUGGAUAAAGUGCAAAUUCGUGUCUUCAUUAGCUGGUAUGUUUUCUUAUUGAUCAUUACCUUUAAUUCGUUGUCUGCGUCUACAAAGUUGUCUAAAUAUAUGUCAGAAUUUAAUGGAUACUGAACCUUUUUUUAAAUGUUCAGUAGAACCAUUCUGUCGAAAAUCACCUAUGUGAUUUGAUGACAAAACGCAUG